CUGGUAUAUGAUGGGGAGAGAUCCCAUUCAGCUAUGCGCUCUUGUUCAUCCAUCAUAAAUAUGUAUUUUUCUUUCUCUUGAAUAAUCUUUUGUGAUUUUGUAAUUUGCUUGUUGAUGAUAUCUUACUAUUGAAUUAAUCUAGAUUUCUUUCAUAACUCAUGCAAGGAUCUAGUUAGGGUUUUCAUGAUCCAAGCCAAGGAAACAAUUAUAAUAUUCACUACUUCGACUCUAGAGGAGAAUACCUUUUAGUGUUUUACAUAAUAUUCAAAUGUACAAGUUGAAAACUGGACUUCUUCAACGAGAGCUACCAAUAAUUGUGCACCUAUGAAGUUUGGAGAAACGUACGUAAAUUGCCUCACUACAUGACAAUGAAAAUAAAGAAAAGUGGUAAAAUUAUUCAAGAGGCUGUA
Molecule: non-coding RNA, 410 nt
Organism: Lupinus albus (white lupine)
Lineage: Eukaryota; Viridiplantae; Streptophyta; Magnoliopsida; Fabales; Fabaceae
Source: the annotation of a GenBank genome assembly